GCGGAUGUAGUUCAACGGUAGAACGCUAACCUUCCCGGUUAGAAAUAUAGGUUCGAUUCCUAUCGUCCGCUCCA
This 74-nucleotide transfer RNA is filed under the name Kroppenstedtia pulmonis. RNAcentral describes it as "tRNA-Gly". It matches the Rfam family "tRNA". From Rfam's summary of the family: Transfer RNA (tRNA) molecules are approximately 80 nucleotides in length. Their secondary structure includes four short double-helical elements and three loops (D, anti-codon, and T loops). Further hydrogen bonds mediate the characteristic L-shaped molecular structure. tRNAs have two regions of fundamental functional importance: the anti-codon, which is responsible for specific mRNA codon recognition, and the 3' end, to which the tRNAs corresponding amino acid is attached (by aminoacyl-tRNA synthetases). tRNAs cope with the degeneracy of the genetic code in two manners: having more than one tRNA (with a specific anti-codon) for a particular amino acid; and 'wobble' base-pairing, i.e. permitting non-standard base-pairing at the 3rd anti-codon position. The record is from RNAcentral. Lineage: Bacteria; Bacillati; Bacillota; Bacilli; Caryophanales; Thermoactinomycetaceae.